This 253-nucleotide ribosomal RNA is filed under the name uncultured prokaryote. RNAcentral's name for it is "partial 16S ribosomal RNA". It matches the Rfam family "Bacterial small subunit ribosomal RNA", at positions 524 to 776 of the family's 1533-position model. The record is from RNAcentral.
UACGGAGGGUGCAAGCGUUAUCCGGAUUCACUGGGUUUAAAGGGUGCGUAGGAGGGCAGGUAAGUCAGUGGUGAAAUCUCCGAGCUUAACUUGGAAACUGCCGUUGAUACUAUCUGCCUUGAAUAUUGUGGAGGUGAGCGGAAUAUGUCAUGUAGCGGUGAAAUGCUUAGAUAUGCCAUAGAACACCAAUUGCGAAGGCAGCUGGCUAGACCUGUAUUGACGCUGAGGCACGAAAGCGUGGGGAGCGAACAGG